Molecule: small nucleolar RNA, 138 nt
Organism: Grammomys surdaster
Lineage: Eukaryota; Metazoa; Chordata; Mammalia; Rodentia; Muridae
Product: small nucleolar RNA SNORA17
Exons: 1
Source: RefSeq, a predicted model, not a curated record
CCUGCUUCCCACAGGCAUUGCAGAUGUGUAUUGUGUGUCAUACGAGUGUCAGUAGUAGGCAGUCAAGAGAGAGGCUAUGUCUAUGCUCAGCUCACUGUCCUGACCAAUGAAUAUUUGAAUGAUCAGUAGCCUAACAUU